RNAcentral lists this ribosomal RNA (251 nucleotides) under uncultured prokaryote. Its description in RNAcentral is "partial 16S rRNA". It matches the Rfam family "Bacterial small subunit ribosomal RNA", at positions 525 to 775 of the family's 1533-position model. The record is from RNAcentral.
ACGGGGGUUGCAAGCGUUGUCCGGAAUUACUAGGCGUAAAGGGCAGGUAGGCGGAUAUAUAAGUUUUGUGUUAAAGGCAUCGGCUUAACCGGUGUAAGGCAUAGGAUACUGUAUAUCUGGAAUGCGGUUGAGGAAGACAGAAUUCCUGGUGUAGCGGUGUAAUGCGCAGAUAUCAGGACGAAUCCCAAAAGGGAAGGCAAUCUUAUAAGCCGAUAUUGCCGCUAAACUGCGAAGGUGUGGGUAUCCAAAAG